CUGCCACUUAAUACUUACUUGACAAUGUAAAACAUGAUCAAAAUGAUUCAAGCAGUUUCCCUGCAACAGUCUGUCAUUGUGAUUGCACGAGACUAGAUUUAAAGUUACGCAUUGACGCGAGCAGCGAUUUCCUCCCAUGCCCUCUCCCUCUCCUUUGCAGCUGCUGCUGUAUUGCACUUUCUUUUAAAAACGUGCUGUAAUUCGCUGUUGGCUUGCUGCUGCCCCCUCCUUCUCCCUGUUUCCAUUGGUUGAUCAUUGAAUCUGGGCUCCACAGAUGCUGGCUGUUUAUGUCUGGCGUGCACGUGCUUAACUCCAGGUCAAACUACUCGGAGUUGUUAAAUCCGUCUCAAAUCAGGUGUUGUGAAACCGGAAACUCCGAGUUUCCUAACUCAGAGUAGAUCAACUCAGAGUUAAGGGGCUCUAUUUUGGUGCUUCGCCGGAGAUCUGCCGCAAGCGCAGCGUCAAUCAGAUCCGCCGCGCUGACAAGGCGUUCCCAAGCACAUUUUGGUAUUUUGGUGAGCCGCGCAGCCCGGCGUAAGUAUCCCCCCUCCCUAACUCAGCUCCUCCCAGCACCAUAAGUCGGAGAAAGGGCGUGUAGUGAUUUUAACAAAGCCGAGACCUGUUUUCUCCAAUCACAUAAGCUCCUCUCCUUGCCUUUAAAUCCGCCACCGGCGAGGCGUAUUACUAUUUUCAUGAAGUAGUCAAAGAGAUCAAGAGAUGUCUUAAGACAGUAAUGCCACAAGAUGGCGACAGAGGGCAGCUCCUCAACAAGUGUCCUCCACACUCUCUCAUAUGAGCACAGAUGGAUUUAGUGUGCGUAAUGUUGGUCCCACUGGUAAGACAAACACCCUUUUCCACAAAUAAAGACACUCACAUAAAGUUGCUCAUAUUCAAACCUCACGUGACAAAGGUGGGUUUAGCGCACAGAUCACAACAUAAACUCCAAAAAUGGCAUUAAAAUUGGAACCAUCUGUGCGUAAAUGACGCAUCGCGCUCCGUGGCCUGGCUCUUUCUUUCAUAGAUGUUGGCAUAUAAAAUAAAUUUGGCUCACAAAACUGAAUAUUAUAAUAUCCGUAUGUCGGCUUAAAGUAGAUCACGCAUCUGAGCACUGAAACAAAUCAUCUGUUCAGUCGCAGCAGCAGCAAGACGGACAGAGGACACGGAGACGUGUCCAGGUCGAGCUGCGCGAGAAAUAAGAGGAAGAGGAAGAAAGAAAAUGAGGGAGACGAAUUACAUAUCUUGUUAACUUCAUCAUGUGUGUUUAUUUACUAGAUAUUUAAUUUAAUUUGAUGCGGUUUCAGCUGUGUUGAUUCGGUCCGGUUGUGUGUCCAAACGCGUGCCAAACGCGCUCAUCAGAUCAGAUAUAGAUCAGAAUAUAUCUAUAUAGAUCUAAAUAUAUGUGCUGACUCAGAUUAAUAGUUGAUGAUGAUUACUUAUUGCACUGAAAUGUGCCUGACACUGUGGAAACCUGCCGGUGAGGCAUCAGUGACGUAUGUCGAUACGCCGCCGGUCUACCAAAAUACUACUAGACCAGCUGCGUUCCGCCUUGCGCUGAAAGCUGACCAGGUUUGAAUCGGUGAACUUUCAGCGCACUUUACACGCCGUUGGCGAGCACGAAAAUGUCACUGCGCCAGCUGAUUCUGUCAACACCUCCCCCUGCCACACCACCACGCCCAGCUUGGCGGAUCUCGGCUCGCCUCCGUGCGGCUCAUGCCACGAAAAUACCAAAUUGGCCUUACGCUGGGCUCCGCCAGACCAAAAUACAACUGCGCGGGGCUCGCCACCCUCCGCCGCCUCACCGGCGCGAACGAAAAUAGAGCCCAAGGAUUUAACUCAGAGUUUGUUGAACCACCUACGUGAAACGGACCCCAGGACCGCAGAGACUGUUGAUGUUUUUAAAAGGAGGCUCAAGACCCACCUUUUUAGUUUGGCUUUUAGCUGAUUUAACUGUUUUAGUUUAUUUUAUCCUUUACUUUUAUCACAUUUUUAUGUCACUUAGAUAUUCUAACAUUAUUCUAAUUUGGUUUUAGUUUAUUUUAUCCUUUACUUUUAUCACAUUUUUACGUCAUUUAGAUAUUUUAAUAUUAUUUUAAUUCCUUCUAUGCCCUAGUCUUUUUAGCUCCAGAGUUUCCUCGUGGGGGCCCUCCACACUGGGAGGUAUGUCUGGUCCGCCCCCGGGGGGCGCGGUCCUUGGGAUCGUCCAGGCCCAGACGGUUAGGGGGCUCUGCACUGUGUGCAGGGUGCACCCGGGCUGUCUGGGUCGGGGGGUCUCGGGGGCGGUGCUCCCUGUGGGGGUGGGCUGUGGCUCCUCUCGGUGUGGACGGCUCCCAUAGGUGGUCUUUCCUUACCAGAAUCAUCAGUGCCUUGCCAUGUUUUUACUGACAGUUACUGUGUGGGUGUGUGGAUACGUGUGUGCGUGUAUGUGUGUGUGGGGUGGGCUGCUGUGCAUGCCUGUAUAUGCUGCUGUGGGUGGGAAGGGACGGGUUUUAUGCCUAUUUAAGUGCCCUAUAUUUACUGUUGUUUGUUUUGUUUUUUCUUUUUUUAACGUUGUUUGUUUUUACCUCUUUGUAAAGCACUUUGUGUUGCAGCUUAAAAGCAUGAAAGGUGCUAUAUAAAUAAAGUUUGAUUGAUUGAUUGAUACUGUGAUUGUUACUCGGUACUCUCACCCACAGAUCUUUAACCCAUUCACUGUCAUAGGUUUUUGUGUGUGUGUGUGUGUGUGUGUGUGUGUUUCUGAUUAUGACCAGUGAUACUUUUCUCACCCGGUGCUCAAACAGUUACUGCAUUAAAAUUCACAGCUUAAUCAGAGUAAGCUCAUAAUUCGUUUUUUUUUUUUUUUCUCGCCGAAUCGGACUUCUCUCCUUGUCCUCGUAUACAUGCAGCUAAGAAACUUGAAUUAUUGACGAGACUAUGUCCUCCUCCCCAAAACUAGGGGGCGGUAUGGGUCUUUUCACCGGCGCUGUGUCCGGUUGACCCAACAACAACAGCAGGUCCAUGCCAGACGUCAGAAGUGGCUACAACUGCUGCUGGGCAUUUUCGAGCAAGAAGAUGGAGCAUCAUACAGCGUUGUUUAUGUCGUACAUGAUGUACGUGCUACUUUUUCUGCAGAUGAGGUGCACGCUACUUCUCUUCUCUGGUGUUUUUGUUCCGCACAUGUAUUGUCCGAUCUUACUCCGACUACGCUGGUUACAUGGUAGAGAAAAUCGAAUUAUUUGGGUGUCUUAACCAGAGUUCUCCGACUCCAAUCGCAGUUCUCAAACUCUGAUUAUAGUCAGACAAAGGUGUUUACAUGCACUUCAGUUGUCCAGUCUUAUUUGGAAUAAUUCGGUUUUCUCAAGUGUCAUGUAAACGUACUGGGUGACUUCCUAAAUUUUUGCAGGUGUGCUGCACAUCCUUCUGUGUCCACACAGCACUGAGAGAAAAGCCAUAGUCCAGCUCUCUGCUGAUCCAACAGACAUCAUGUGAUUGACAUGAAAUGUUCACGGAUUGAUUAGAAUGGAGUGUCACAGUGGUGAUUGAGGGUCAGGGGCGAGAACAUUGAUAAGAGCCCCUCAUGUAUAUCAUGGAGCACAGGACAGUUAUGAUUAAUGAAGAUCUGUCUCUGUAGCGUUUUCAGACCAGAUUCCAUUUUGGUGACCCUGGACAGCAGAAGCAUGGAGGUAACAGCAUUUUUAAGCCCCCGGUACCCACAGUGUAGGGUUCAUUUAAGCAUAUGAAGGCACAGUCAAUAAGAGGGUCCGAGGGUCCUCGCUCUGGAAAUUUACAGCAUUCAAGUGCAUACUUGUUUCACAUUAGGCUGUGUCUUAUUUUCUAAGAGAGCAUCCAGGUGGCACUGUGUUGUGUUUCUAUAUCUUCAAAUAGAGUAGAAUACUCUGAGAGGACUCUACAGUAUUUUAUUUUCUAAAGGGACAUCCUAGAAGAUACGUUUUCAGACAUGGGGGCACCAAGAGGGGCAACCACACCCCUGUACCGCCCGCUAAGUAUACCUCUGUGAUGUCCUGAUGUCCACCCAUAAGGUCUGUCCUAAAAUCUCAUGCUGUUAGGGUUAACAUCAGCUUUGGGAACUUCCCAGAGAGCAUGUGAGACUAAAACUUGGGAGAUGGAGCUGAUGCUGUGAAAGGUUUCUUUACUCUCAAACUUUCCAAACUAAAGACCAAGGUGUGCUCAGAGUUACUUUCCCUUUUGAUCAAAGCCUUUCUUGCAGAAAUGGUUCUGACGUGACCAUGGUCUGGUUCGAGGCUCAGGUGAGUUUGAUUUCCUGAAUGCGGAACUUUCACACCUGAGCUGUCAAGGAGGUGAGAGAAGACAAGUGGGAGCGAGUGUCGGCCUCCCCGUGUCGUCAGCUGUGGAAGUCUGAACUCUGAGAAAUCCCAGGGUCCCUCUCUGUGGACUGUCGAUGCCACCUUUGGCGUGCUGUUUAUUUUCUGGUUUCACAGAAGAAUUUUAAUUCAACUUAUCGUUCUGCGACCAUGCUGAGCGCUGAUUCAGGAUACUGCAGUUCUCUGGGUGAUUACUGUGUCAGGAAGAGUGAGCUUAAACAUCUGCAGCCACCAAGGGAGAUGGAGCAGCUUCUGAAAGGCCGUCCAUCUGAGCCUGAGCCAAGGACUUGAUCAGCAGACCAGUAGGGUCCAACUUAAUGGACUGACAUGAUUAAACCUGCUAAAACCCAUGGAGGAAAGGAAGAAAGUUGCUGCACAUGUAAAUAAAUUAAAACCUCUCUCCUCUUAGUGAUGCAGCUCAACUUUGGUCUGCAGGUCUUCUAAGAGUCUGUUUUUCUGUCUGAACCACCUCCUGAGAGACCCUCUGGAUUAGCAUUCUUAGCUGAGAAAGUCCUCCUAUUACCCUCCAUGCUGUGACAGUUUCUGGAGCGCUGCUCUCCAAGUCUUUCUUUGUUUAAGCCUCUCCUAUAAGAGCGAGCCGGCUCUGCACAUAUGGCUAGUGUCAGCUGUAAUUAGCUCUGACAGGGGCAUUUAGUGGUUGUAAUUCAAAUCUAAUUCAGAACAUCUUAACCCUGAAGUCUGUCAAGAUGCUUGAAAUGCACAUGAACACUCAUGGUCCCAAUCAGCGCUGCGUUUGUGCGGCAGCAUGCUGAUGUGUCAACAAGGCCGCUUAGAAAAACAGGCUCAGAAAACAGGAUGGUUCAGUCCCAUCAGAGCUGCAGCAGGGGCAUAGAGGGCUGGAUAAAUGAGCUGCAGACUCCGUGGUCAGCCCUGAUGCUGCAGACUCCAUGGUCAGCUCUGAUGCUGCAGACUCCAUGAUCAGCUCUAAUCCUGCAGACUCAGCGAUCAGCUUAGUUCCUGAAGCCUCCUUGUUCAGCUCCGGUCCCUCAGACUCUGGCAGCUGCUUCACCUUUUGCACUCAUCCACACACAACUAAACAUCAUCUUUUGUAAGAAAACACACAGUCCUGCAUCAACAGAGGGGACUAAUGGGAACAUAGCCGACCUUGAGCUGAGGAGACUCUCAGACCUUUAGCGGCAGUUUUUAAUCCGACUGAUCUGCACACAACACUUACCCCCCUGCUGUAGAGUCAAGGUCUGAGUUAACUGAGAGAUUCUGCUUCAGUUUCAGACCAACACAAAGUUUUCAAACAUGCACACAAACAGACCAAAGAGUGUUUUUAUUCUCAGAGGUACUCUGAGCUGCUGCAGAGGGUCAGACUGAGGGCACAGUCAUUAUUCACAGUUAUAAAUUUAUCCCUGACUGACUACAGAAGAUUCCUCAAAUCACUGAAUAACUUUAGUGAGGAAGCUGGAAAAACCAGGAUCAGUUACUGCACAAACUUUACUAACUCUAUUCAUUCAUUUUUAAUGACACUCAAGUUUAUGAUUUAUCCACAGAAGCAGCACUGUCUAUAUCUGUCUCUGUCAGUCUUUAUGUGUCUGUAUUUGUUAGUAGCUCUCUGUGUCUGUACCUGUCUUUAUUUUUGUCCUUAUCUGUUUGUUUCUGUUUGUAUCCCUCUAUAAAUGUCUACAUCUGUUUUGAUCGGUCUCUUUCUGUUUUUAUCUGUCUGUGUCUAUUUGUAUUUCUGUCUGUAUCUGUAUGUCUGCAUCUGUCCGUAUCUUGUCUGUCAUCCAUCCCUCAGUUCUCUUGGUGCCCCCCUCUAACAGUCCCCUACACACAAACAGGUUUCAGGGGUACUGAGAGUCCAUCUGCUGACCUGCAUGUCUCUCUGCUGGUCUCAGUAUUUCUGAUCUGCUCUCAGGUUGCUGGUCUCUGUGUUUCUGCUCUUCUCUCAGGCUGCUGGUCUCGGUGUUCCUGGUUUGCUCUCAGGCUGCUGGUUUUGGUGACAGGUGAUGGAUGGAGGCUUUUCUAACCCUGUAAGUGCUCUAAAAACUCAUUCAGGCUUUCAUCACCAAACACGUCUGUAAGGGGAUGUGCUAAUAGCCCCUCUUCUAUCAAGUUAUUUGUAUGUCUAAAUAAUUUCAGAAAUUAAACUAUUAAUCAUGGGGAGGGGGCGGCUGACACCAAGCAUGCUGAGCUGCUCCUAAAUGCACAGUGAGGUGUUUAUGGUCAGCUCCGUCAAACUGCUCUAAUUGCUUAAUUGCUCGUCUGUUGGUGGCUGUUAAAAGUUCCCGUCUGCGCAGAAUUUCAGCCGAAUUAUCCAAAGUAAAACCAAAUGUGUGCUUUGAGGUUUUAAUAAAGAUAUGAGAGUGUUUGUAGGUUUUUCUUUGUAGGGCUCCAGGUGGAGGUGCUCACCUUCAGAGGAGAAAUGUGUCAAAGAAAAGCGGCUCUCUGUCUGAUCCUGGUCUGAUCUCAGCAGAGAGAGGAGCUGAGUGGAAAAAGGAGAGAUGUUCACCCGUGGAGGUGAGCGGAGGUGUUGCUGCUUCACGCUCCGGCAGCUCUGUGAGGCGUUCACGGCCGCAGCGAUCCCACAGUCUCUUUGUUAUUACGCAGGUCCAAGUCCAACACAAAGAGAUCCAGUGUUUUUGAUAUGAGUAAUGCAUUAACCUGCUCAGCAAAAGUUCAGCUUAAACGUAUGGGCUUGGACAGCACAAGAUUUAUGACGAUGGCUGAAGAAAUUAUGCUUUUCUUCCCCCAAAGACACUUUAAUUGUGUAAUUACUGCCAGCUGCUUUUCAUUUAAGGCUGUCUUUAAUUAGGGCGAGAGGUCCGCGGUUCAAGCCCCCCCCCCUCCUCCAGGAUGAUUAGCCAAAUCCUCCGCUAAACUCAUUUGUUAUUCAGGCUUUGCGCGCAGCCUCCCGUCGGGCCGCAGACAGAACCCCGGAGCCCAAUUUCCUUCACAGCCGCCCUCCUUAUCCUCCACCUCAUCAGCAACAAUUGUCCUGAAAUAAGCAGCAGCAUAUCUGUGUUUGCUUUCCUUAUUAGGCUCCAAAUGUAGAGAAAACAUAUCAGGAGCGGGGAGCCGAGAGGGCCCUGCACCUGAUAAUCUGAAUAAAUCUGUUCCAUCACAUUUUGCCACGGCCUCCUCCAGAGGAGCAGCAGGGGGGUGAGGAGGUGGAGGGUCCAGCAGAGGCCUGGGAGAGCAGGUUUGUGCUUUUCUGCAAGGUAAUUGGUGAAUUCUUAUUCAAGAUGUUCCAAACGAAGCAUCUGACUGUGAGGACUUUAAUUUCUGUCUACAGCAACCAAACCUGGAGGAGGACAAAGAAAAAGAGGGUCUGCAGAGGGGGCAUCAGACCACAAACAUCUGUGCUGGGUUUGGGAGGAAAACUCAAAUGUUUAAAGAAUGUAAAAAAAUUAAAAUAGAUAAAUAGAAACGUAUUUUUUUCUGUUAAAACAGAUGAAGGAAUAGAGGAUGGUCAUAAUAAUGAUAAUUAUAAUAAUAAUAAUAAUAAUCAUUAUUAUUAUUAUUAUUACUAUUAUUGUUUUCACAAACGUACAGAGUCAGUCUGAGUCAGCUCACAGUGAAAAUGAACAUGACUACAGAAUCAUCUGGGUACGUUUGUGAAAACAAUAAUAAUAAUAAUAAUAAUAAUAAUAAUAAUAAUAAUAUUAAUUAUUAUUAUUAUUAUUAUUAUUAUUAUUAUUACUAUUAUUAUUAUUAUUAUUAUUAUUAUUAUUAUUGUUGCUGUUGUUGUUUUCACAAACGUACAGAGUCAGUCUGAGGAUUCAUUCAUGUAAUAAGUCAAAUGGACCCAGAUGAUUCUGUAGUCAUGUUCAUUUUCACUUUGAGCUGACUGGGUAAAAUAAUUACAGGUUCUUGUGAAAAGCUGCAGGUGUAACUUAUCCUUCCUCAUUAUUUACACUGUUUCAGAUAUUUGACUGUGAGAGUAUUUAAAUAUAACUGCAGAAUAACUCCUUUAUCUGCAGUUACUUCUUCAUCACAUAUUCAGUUUUUAAUCCGUCUGCAUUUUUAAAACAUUACAAAUUUAAAGCCAUCAUUAGUGAUGUGUUUGUGAAGCAAAUGAAUACACUGAAAUUGGUUUUCAAUGACUGGUUCAUUGGUUAUUCUGGGUUUUUAUCAAAUGUUUUUCAGCUUCAUCAUUUGCUCAUGGGUUCAAAUUUUGUUCAGGUUUACUGUGAGGGCUGAGAGGUUCCCUUUUGCUGUUUGAUUUUCUACACUGUUUUGUUUAUGCAAAGUGUUUAAAGUACUUUAGAAAUACAGUAAUGAUAAUAAUAAUAAUAAUAAUAAUAAUAAUAAUAAUAAUAAUAAUAAUAAUUUGGUUAGUAGUAAUAGUAGUCGUAGAAGUAGUAGUAGUAGUAGCAGUAGUAGUAGUAUCAUCAUAAUAACCGCGUUAAUAUCAUAAUUAUGAGAUUAACAGUACUAAUACAACUGCUUCUAAUUAUUAUUAUUAUUAUGAUAAUUAUAACCAAAAGUGUAUGAAUAAUAUUUGAAUGCAGCAGUAUUGACACUUUUCACUUUGGUUUUUUUCUAUGUGUUAAAUGGGUCCUGAGUGUGUGUAACACUGUCAUGGUCUUUGACUGACCUAGUCACCGCUCUGAUUUACUCUUAAAUAUUGCUCUGUCAUCUUUGGUUAUUUGAGUAUUUUAUUAACUAUUUUAGUAUUUAAAUUGAUUGAUUCUGUUUGAUGACUGUAGACUCUAACUGAGUGCUUGGGGUUUAUCAACAGUGAGAUGUGCCAAUCAAAAGUGUUGUUAUUGCCAUCCAUCACAGCUGUUUAUCAAUGGUGGGCAAAAAUGGACAAAAACCCACCAAAUGAAUUAAUCAAUAAAAUAUUUGGAGUUUAGAUAAACUAAUGCCGACAGCUGUAUUAAGGUCUAUGAAAGUGUUCCAUAGGGCUCUGUAUUAGGUCUGAGCUCACUUAUAACUCCUGAUAUUUCUGUUUUUUUGAAGAAGAAAAAACAAAAAAAACAGACAUCUUACUUUCAGUGAUAAGACGCUACAAUUAGUUUGAUAUUAAGUUCAGAAACAGUACUUUUAGUGUUUCAGCACUUUCAGGUUUAAAUUAAGCUUUUGAAUGUUGUUUAUGAGGUCCUGAUGCCCCUGCUGAAUAUUAUGGUCUGUCUGCUGUACUCUUUAUAAUAUAAUAAUAAUAAUAAUAAUAAUAAUAAUAAUAAUAAUAAUAAUAAUAAUAAUAAUAAUAAUAAUAAUAAUGAUAAUAAUAAUAACAAAGGUUACAAACUGAGUUGAUAUGAGGUUAAACUGAGCCCUGAGGUCACUUCACACUGAGGAGUCAUAAAUAUAAAAUAUAGAACAAUCAUCUCACCCUGUUGUUCUGCUGAUCUUUAUUUUCCCUUUCAGAGAAACAAAAUUCAGUCACAGAGAAACUUGGUUUUUAUUUGACAGUGAAUCAAAAAGUGUGAUUAUAUCGGUAAUGAUUUCAGUAACGGCCAACAUGAGUUUGAACUAAAAGCAUUUCUGAUCUAUAUGCACCUUGAUACCUCUGUGAAUGUAAACCCUGCAGCACUUUCUAUCUUGGUAAAGGGUCAAAUCACCGAUAAAGGGUUUGGAGUCCUCGUCUGAAACCUCUUCAGCGUCUCUCAGACCUCAGCAGAGGGAGCUCGGCUCUGCUUUCCUGAUGUUCCUAUGUUUCCUAGACAGAUAUUUAGUCUGCUGUGAUGUGAUGUAAGUCUCUGCCAUUGUUCUCCGGCUGAAUGUGGAUGUUGAAAGGGUUUGUUGAAAAGUUUCAGAGCCAAGGAGAGAAGCAGAGCCUCAGAGUCGCUCUCAGUGUGUUGAAUCUGUAUUUAUAACCCUGAACCUGGACUUGUGCUCCUAUAGCUGUGUGUGUAUUACUGUGAUGGAUAUAAAUGAUGAGGCGUGUUCUGCACCUCGAGGCUGUAAAUGUGGUCUUGUCUGAAUAAUCACAUGUCAUCCCUCGCUGAAAAUAAACAGCAGUAAAGGAAAACAAAGAGGGAAAAACAGAAAAAUGACUUUUCUCCCUCAAACCUCUCCAGCCCUCAGAGUGUCUGUAAACGCCACCCUCUCACAACAAAAUGAGCCGGGCCUAAGUGCUGCCAUUCCUCUGCGUCUGCGGCGGCCCCCACCGGCUAAAAGGUAAACCACCUGACACUGAGUGAGGAGGAGGGUCCCUGGGCCCCUCAACUGUCACAUACGUGAAUACAAAUGCUCUCUUUUUUCCUACCAGCCAUUUCAGCUCAAAAAGAAAACUCCAGAAUAAAAAAGGCAUAUCAGGAGAUGCUGCCCCUUUUUUCAUCAUGCUUUGGGCCUGUCUGUGUGUGUGUGUGUGUGUGUGUGUGUGUGUGUGUGUGUGUGUGUGUGUGUGUGUGUGUGUGUGUGUGUGUGUGUGUGUGUGUUUGGUUGACAGCUCUGACAGAGGCUUGAUAUUUUACUCAUGGAAAUGAUGCCCUCACCCAGCCAUCAGCGUCGCACAGUCUCCCUGGGUGUCCAUCAGCGUUGGAGGAGGAAUAAAAAGGUUGUAAAAAGGAUGUUUUUCAUGCUAGAGUGGCCGAGCUGGGGUGGGGUGUUAACGGGGGGAGGGAGAGGGGUAAGGGUAGUGAGGAGUGACAUACAUGUGAUUACCUAUGCAUUAGAGCAGAUGAUGAGGGCCUUACAGCUCAGGAUGCUUCAAAAGAGCUGAAACAUUAUGCAACACAGCAGCAGCAGCACUGUUUAUCUAAAGCAUAUGGUUUUCCUGCUUUCCUAAUGCUGCCGUACACACGAACCGUGUGUGUGUUACACACAGGAGUUGUAAUUUCACAAGGUUUUAAAGGAACAUUUCAUUUAGUUAUUGCACCUCAAACAGUCUGCUGAAACAAAACUCAAAUUCUACCUCCAUGUAAUGCUGAAUGGACUAGACUCUCCAUUAAACAGGUCCUGAUCCAUUCAACAGGAGGACUGGGUCCUCCUGUAUAGUGUGGGUGACAUGAAAUAAGUGUUGCUUGUGUAUGCUCGUGUUGUCUCUGGUCAGUGGUCCCUGUUUGCCUGUUUGGUUACCACUGGUCAUCAAUAUUUCAUUCAUUUGUUUCAUUUAUUGGUGUUUUUGUGGAUGCAGAUGAGCAGAUGCAGAACUUCAGUCCAAGAUUGGAUACCAAGGAGACAAGAAAGAAGAUCAUGUUGUAAGUUUAGUGUCUGGCAUGUCGAAUCACGACAUAUCUUAUUGGGGCCACAGGGCAAAUGCACCGAGGCACUGGCCCCUAUACAAAAGUAUAGGGCAAGUGGAUUUUUUUUUUACUCCUGUUCCAGUCAAAUUUUGAUUCGCUUCUAGUCUUACAGUUUGAAGAGUUGUAGGACAAAUUAUAUAUCAAAAUGUGCGGUUUGAUCGUGAUCUAUUUUUAUUGUAUACACAUUUUUGCGAUGUAAGUCCAAAAAAGGGGCAAUAUUGGAGUUUUUCAAAUGUCUUCUGGUUUUGCUCCUUUUUUAUUGUGUGGUAAAAAAAAAUACUUGAAAAAGGAAUGUUAGUAGUAGGUAUGCUUCUUGUAUUUAAUAUCACAAUGCUACUAGUAUUCAUUUUUUUUAAAUCUCUGAAAAAUGGUGGUGAAACCAUGGUGGAAACCAUGGUAAUAGCCCCUGUUGCCCUAUAAAAAAUUUCACAGAGGUCUGGUCUGGUUGUAUAUUACUGUACUUCAUAUCAUAUCAUAUCAUAUAACACAUAUUGUAUCAUAUCAAAUUACAUGUAUCAAAGGAUAUCACAUCAUCUUACAUCAUAAUGCCAUGUAUCAUACAACAUCAUAUUAUAAUGCAUCACACAUGGUAUUUUAAAGUAAUACAUUAAAUUGUAUUUUAUCAUUUUGAAUUUGACCACAUUGUAAUGUAUCAUAACAUGUUUCUUAUUGAAUUGCAUCAUAAUGUAACAUGUAUCAUAUCGCACCAUCUUUCAUUGUUAUGUAAAGUAUUAUAUCUUGCUGUAACCUAAUGCAUUGUACUGCAUAAUAUCCUGAUGUAAUGUCACACUGUUACAUGAAAGUGUGUUCUAUCUAAUCCUAUUGUAACAUAUCACAUCUCACGGUAUCCUAUUGUGCUGCAUCCUGUAAUUAUCAGCCUAUCACUUGACUGACUCACAGAGACACUUGACCGCUUACACACUCAAACCUACAGACAGUUCAAAGAAACUAUUAACCAAACUUAAUUUUAUUCUUCUACAUCACGACAAAGGUAGAGGAACUACAGAAAAACCCACAGAGGUUGAACAUAGAGUAAAAGCCUGAGAGUUCACUCAGAGAAUAACUCCUCUACAAGAGUCGUUUCUAUUACACCACCACAAUGUACAUUAUUCUUCAGAUAUUUCUGACCAUAAAUUCAUCCUGUCAGGUAAACAUGCUCAUUUCCAGGCCCUGUGGUUCUCUGAACUAGCUCCAUCAAUCACACCGUAAGCCUCAAGUCUCAGCUUUCAGGAGCUUAACUCUGAGCUGGAGGGCAGAAAAGGUUAGAUGACAGUUAGGAUCAGCUGAUCGGGCUAAGGUAGAUGGGUUGGUGAAGAAAUGGAAGAAAAACAGCUGAUCUUUGUUGAUUUAUAGUAAAAAAAAAAAUACAGCUGAUUUCAUAAUAUCAUAAUUAAUGAUGCAGGAGACCACCAGUCUUUUGAAAUUUUUGAUAGAGAAACAGCAGAUAUUUAUUGAUUUAUGAUGGAAAACAACAGCUGAUAUUUGGUGAUUUAUGAUGUGGGGAAAAAAAGAGCUCAUCUUUUUUGAUUUAUGAUACUAAAAACAGCUGAUCUAUUUUGAUUUAUGGUACUAAAAACAGCUGAUCUAUGUAAAUUUUUAAUGGAGUAAAAUCACCUGAUAUUUGUUGAUUUUUAAUGGAGAAAAAUCAGCUGAUCUUUGUUUAUUUAUGAUACAGGAAAAACAGUUGAUCCUUUAUGAUUUGUUAAGUUUCACUGGUUUUAAUGUUUUUUUAAAAUGUACACUCUGAUCUUCAAAGCUGACUUGAAGCUCUAUCCAGAGAGUAAAAACAAGAAGACUCUACUGCAACAAAACAUUAUGAAGAAAAUAACUUGACUUAUUUUUGUUGCAUAUUUUCUAUUUUGAAGAAAAAUGGCUGCAGCCACCUCCAUGGAGCUUCUGAGGUUUGAUAAAACAUGAUUUUUAAAGAUACCAAUUGGAUUCACUGUUAAAAUUUUGAACUUCAAAAGCAAGAGUGCUCGAUCCCCAUAAAAACUGUUAUAUUUGUAAUAAUAGAGGUACAUGGACAUACUUGGCUGCUUUUUAUAGGUAAACUUAAAAGUUCGACAUGGAACAUGUUAAAAUCAGCCCCUCUAUUCACUUCCGAGGUAUUUUCAUAAAUCCUCAUGUAGCACUGAAGACAUUAAAAUCUUCAGUCUCCGAUCACUGAGACUCUCCUGACUACACACUGCAGAAAUGCAAAGACCCAGUUUUUCUCCUAAUGGAGAGAAGGAUGAAGUGUUGUCUGAAUAAACUUUGCUCUGCUGUGUAGCAGAUAUACAAUCCCCUGCCAGGAUCUUUUGAUCCAUUUAUGUGAAGCUUUUCAGCAAGCAGAGUUAUCAGUGAUUGUCCACAUAUCAUACUCAUAACAGUUAAGAGGGAGAGGCUGCUGUGCAGGCCUGAUGGCUGUUUUCAGAUACCUCAUUAAGAUUCCUACAACUUCAUCACCUUUUCACGUGUUCACAUGUGUUUUAGGAAUCAGUGUUCUGUAACCUGAGAGAGAGUUUUUUUAAAAAAAAACACGUCAUUAGGAGGUUAAGGUGUGCAGCAUGGAAAAUACUGAGCUGUGCAUAACAGCAAUUAUCCCAGUUUAAUAGAUAUGCCUCAGUCUGAACGCUGCUCCAGGUCCAGGAGUUUGAAGCUCCGAGUGAGCCACAAAAAGCGACCUUCAGACCGAUUUCAUCUGCAGUCUGAUCUCAAACACUAAAACCAGCUCAGGGUCACGUCACAGGACCUACAAUCUGUCAAGUUUUACAGUCAAUAAUAUGUCAAAUAAAGACAGCUGUUUGAGUUCGAGAUACUGUAUUAUUGAUGGCUGCUUAGCUAAAAGAAACACCAGGGGCCUCAGGACCACCAAAUUAAGACCUCCUCACAGAAACUUCCAGAUGAACUCCAAGUCAGGUUUCUUUUACUGUUCAAAUGAGGUUAACAUCAACACAAAAAACUCAACACUGGGGCUGUCACAUAAUUAUCUUUUUCAUUGUGAUUAAUCACUGAAUUUAUAUCAUGAACAGCCAUUAAUCACAUUUUAAUCAUGUGAGUAAAAUUCCAGUGUUUUGCAUUUUAACACUAGUUUUCAUACCAAUGUGAAGCUAUUCAAAGAUGAAGUCAAUGGAAUGUUCUUUUUGAUCUUGAGAUUUUAAUAAUCAAAGUGGCUGCUAAGAAUAUUGAGUAAAAUGAUGACUGAUUUGAAUAUUCAUAUUAUUAUGGCCUAUAUGAGGGUAAUAAAUCAGUGGAUCAGCUUGGGCUCUCUAAACUGAGUCAUGGAUAUUUUUAGACACCUCGUCCUGCAGCGUUCAGGGUACAGAUGUUUGUCUCCAGGUGAAUGAACAUGGUCUCCUCUGGUCUUCUAAAGCUCUGACAUGGAUCCCUCUCUCUGAGUUCUGGACGCUGUCUCUGCUCUGUUCUCUGCAGAUGCUGAGCCUUGCCUUACUCUGCCUUCACUCCCAUGAAAAGUCUCAUUGUUGUGAAUUAAUGUUCAAAAAGGACAGAAGAAAGAAAAACAACAUUCAAAGAGAGAAAGGGAGGGAGGAGGGAUCCUGAUUUUUACAAACUGCAGACCUCCAGAACUAAAAGUUUAAAGAAGUCCCCUGAUAGUUCCCUUUAGGAGCGGCUUGAAGUCCUUGUCUUGUAAUAAUAUAUAAUGCCUGCUUGGGUCAUCUGCAGUGGAGCGGCGGCCAUGACCUCGGCCAAUUACAGACAGGCAUCAGCGAAGCCUCUCCUUACAGCAGCCCCAUCUCCUGAUGUACAGAGUAAUUCUCUGCCUCUUCAGCCAGUCUGAGGCUGACACUGCAACUCCCCGGUGUUUGGCUUUUUUAGAAACAGCUGGGUUUAAAGAAAGAGGGCAUGGGCCACCAAAGUCCUCACAUAACUGGAUUGUUAAAGUCUGGCUGAGGUGGACCGGGUGGUGAGACCUGCUGGGGGUCUGACAGAUGUGCAGAGCUUGUUUUUUUUCUUGCAGGCAUGUUUCUCAUUUGUGUUUCAAUUUGUUAAUUCAGCUUACACUCAUGAAGCAUUGCUCGCUGAGCUGCUUGCCAAGUUGACGGUGGUGGUAGUAUGAUUGGAGACCCUCAGAGGGGCCGGUUCAGUGUUUUUUUCCUCCUCUGCUGGGAGCUCUGGAAGGCCGGCAUAAAGGUAUCUGUGCAACCUGAACACUGACACCAUCAUGUCUGUCAGGACACCCAGAGAGUCUGACAGAAGACCCAGCUGACUGUUUCUGACAGUAAACAUAUGAUCCCUGUUUUCAGUCUUGAUCCUCCAGGAUUUAUAAGUGCUUGUCCCUGAGCAUCCUGAAGUUUUUACAGGGUUCACAGGACCUUUAUUAGCUCCAGCUGCCUGACGGAUCCUGAUCUGCAGGUCAGCAUGUUGGGAAGCUUUCAGGUGAGUUGAGUUAACAAAUAAAGACGGAAUCUUUCUCCAAACCCAGAAAGUUACAGGAAAGUUACAAGAGGAAAAAUCAGGAUUUCCAACCAGAGAUUCAAAACAUAAAAAUGAAGACUCAAAUCCCGAUCCAGAUCCAGGCAGGAAUAAUAGUCCAUGCUAUAUUAUUUUAAACCUAGUUUGUCCUGCCAUAACAGAAAAUACAGUAUUUAUAGACUUAAAUCUAAAUUCUGCCAAACAGUAACUUUGGCACUGUAUGAUUUAGCCAGUACAACUCCAAAAUACUUUGCACUGAGUGUUUACAGAAGGAAGUCAUUUAGCUCCACAGGUCUUUGAGAGGCUUUAACAAACAAGCGAGAAAUGAGAAAUACAUGAAAACACAAGGAAACAAAAACUAUACAGUUAAAAUACCAGAACCCAGCUGAGAGAGACUGAUAAAAACUGUAAUAUUUGAUAUAAUAUUUAAGAAUGUGUAUAUAUUUCAAUUUAAAUUCAGUUUUAUUUAUUCUGAUCUUAUUACUAACACAUUGUUAUACUAUUUUGUUUUUGUACAGCUGACUGAAAAGUAAAAAUUCAAGACUACCUGUCUUGCUCCUGUACAAAAGGCAAUAAGCCUCUACUUUGAUCUGUUUUAUUCGAUUGAAUUCUAUUUUAUUCGGCUCUAUUCUGUUCAAAUUUGAUUUUAUUCUUUUCUCUUCUGUUCUUCUGUUCUACUUCUAUUCUAUUAUGUUGAUUCUGUUCUAUUUUAUUGUCUUCUUUUCUAUUUUAUUUCUUUCUAUUCUGUUAUAGCGCUAAGGGACUGUUUUAAAUCAACAGACUGGAAUGUACUGCUGGAAACAGAUGUGGAUAGAACACUGACAGACAGGUUGACUGCUUUACUGAAUAUGUCAACUUCUGUAGAGACACAGUUAUACACACAAAGACUGUUCGCUGUUUCCCGAACAACAAACCUGGAUCACAAGAGACAUACACUGUGUGCACAAUUAUUAGGCAAGUUGUAUUUUUGAGGAUAAAUUUUAUUUUUGAACAACUACAGUGCCCUCGGUCAAUCCAAAAUGUUAAUAAACCUCAAACCUUAAUAUUUAAGGGAGUAAAAGUGAGAUUUUGGCUUCCUUAGGAGAAUAUCUAUGUGUGCACAAUUAUUGGGGGCAGCUAUUAGUGUGCAGAAUUAUUAUGCAACUAAAUUAAAAAUGAAAAAUUUUCCAUCUCACUUGUUUAUUUUCACUUGUUAAAGUGAGAAUGAUAAACAAACAACUCAAAAUUUACAAAUAAAAAUUGUUGAAAUUUAAAAAAAAAAAUCAGUGACCAAUAUAGCCACCCUUAUUUUCAUCAACAGUCAUAAGCCUUUCAUUCAUGAAGUCUUUCAGUUUCUUGAUCUGUUGACGAUCAACUUUUUGUGUUGCAGUAACCAAAGCCUUCCAGACACUGUUCCAGACACUGUUCAGAGAGGUGUACUGUCUUCCUUCACUGUAAAUUUCCCGUUUAAGAAGGGCUCACAAGUUCUCAACAGGGUUUAGGUCAGGUGAAGAAGGAGGCCACGUCAUUAUUCUUUCGUUUUUAAGGCCUUUACUGGCGAGCCACAUAGUGGAGUACUUUGUUGCAUGCAAUGGAGCAUUGUCCUGCAUAAAAAUCAUGGUUUUCUUGAAAGAUACAGACUUUUACCUGUACCACUGCUUGAAGAAAGUGUCUUCUCAAAACUGGCAUUGGAUUUGGGAGUUGAUUUUAAGUCCAUCUUUAACCCAAAAGGUCCAGCUAGCUCAUCUUUAAUAAUUCCAUCCCAUACCAGUACCCCGCCUCCACCUUGCUGGUGUCUGAUUCGAAGUGGAGUUCUGUGCCCAUUACUGAUCCAGCCACGGGCCCAUCCAUCUGGUCCGUCAAGAGUCACUCUCAUCCCAUCAGUCCAUAAAACCUUUGAAAAAUCUCUCUUCAGAUAUUUCUUGGCCCAGUCUUGACGUUUCAACUUGUGUCUUGUUCAGUGGUGGUCAGAUUUCAGCCUUUCUUACCUUGGCCAUGUCUCUGAGCACUGAUCAUCUUGUACUUCUGGGCACUCCAGGUAGGUUGCAGUUCUGGAAUAUGACAGCACCGGAGGAUAAGCGAUUCCUGGUAGCUUUACGUUUGAGUCUUCUCAAAUCUUUGGCAGUUAAUUUGCGUCUUUUUUUCUUAACACAUUUCUUGCGACCCUGUUGACUAUUUGCAUCAAAAUGUUUGCUGAUUCUGUGAUCACGCCCAAAUAUCUAAGUGAUUUCAAGAGUGCUGCAUCCCUCUGAAAGACUUUUUACAUUUUUUGACUUUUCAGAGUCACUUAAAUCUCUUUUUUGGCCCAUUUUACCUAAGGAAAAGAAGCUGCCUAAUAAUUAUGCACACCUUGAUAUAGGGUUUUGAUCUCCUUAGGCCCCAGCCUCCCUCAUUACACUAAUACACAUUAACUGAUAUGCUUAUAUCCAAUAAGCAUUCAAGUUUCUACAGCUUGGAGUUGGAAAAUAUGCAUAAAAAUGAUGAUAUGAUCAAAAUACUCACUUGCCUAAUAAUUGUGCACACAGUGUAAAAGCAAUCCUUAACCAGAAAAAGAAAGUUUUUAAAGAUGGUGACAAAGAACGACUCAAACAAGUGCAACAAGAGUUGAAGAGGAGACUGAAGAUGGCAAAGCUGGAGUACAAAAAGAAGAUAGAGAAUAAUCUACAACACAGCAACAUCUGUGAGGUGUGGAGAGGAAUUAGUACCAUCUCUAGACACAGCAAUAAAUAGAAAAGACAGCCAGUGGUGGGUGAUCUGGAAAGAGCUGAUGAACUCUACCUGUUCUUCCACAAGAUUUGACACUCCCACUUUGUUACACCCACUUACCUGCUUCUCCACCUUCCUCUCUGCAAAAAAUCUCCACUACAACUGCUCCCCUUCCUCCUGCUUAAAGACUGUGCUGCAGGGCUUUGUCAACCUCUCCACAGGAUCAUCAACCUGAGUCUACAGCUGGGGCGAGUACCUGCUCUGUGGAAAACAUCCUGCAUUGUGUCAGUACCAAACACAAAAUGUCCUGCUGAACUCAAUGACUGCAGACCAGUGGCCCUCACUUCACACAUCAUGAAAACCCUGGAGCGGCUGAUUCUACACCGUCUGAGGUCUGAGGUCAGAGAUAAACUGGAUUCUCUGCAGUUUGCACAGAAAGAACACAUUGGAGUGGAUGAUGCUGUCCUCUACAUACUUCACUGUGCCCUGUCUCAUCUGGAGGAGCCUGGGGUUUAUGUGAGAAUCAUAUUCUUCGACUUUUCAAGUGCAUUCAACACCAUCCAACCUACCAUACUCAAAAACAAGCUCACAGAGAUGGUAGGUUGGGAGUGGAUCCUUCCUGUGUUUCCUGGAUCACAGAUUACCUGACAGGAAGGCCACAGUUUUUCAGGCUGGAGAACUGUGUUUCUGGGACAUUAAUGAGCAGUACAGGGGCUCCACAAGGGACAGUGCUGGCGUCAUUCCUGUUCACACUGUACACAUCAGACUUCAAAUACAGCACUUAGUCCUGCCACAUCCAGAAAUACUCAGAUGACGCUGCUAUUGUGGCACGUAUCAGAAAUGAACAAGAAGUUGAAUACAGAGAUCUGAUAAGAGCCUUCAGUGACUGGAGUCACAAAAACUGCCUCCUCCUCCUCAACAGCUCAGAGCCAAAGGAGAUGGUCAUAGACUUCCGUAGAUCCAAACCCCCUCUUCAGCCAGUGAACACCUGUGGAGUGGACAUCGCGGUGGUGACAUCAUAAAAAUACCUAGGUGUACAUCUGGAUAAUAAGUUGGGUUGGUCUAAGAAUAUAGACUACAUCUACAGAAAGGGGCAGAGCCGCCGUUUUUCCCUGAGAAGACUCUGAUCAUUAGACAUCUGUGGUAAGAUGCUGCAGAUGUUUUAUCAGUCUGUGGUGGCAAGUGUUCUGUUCUACGCUGCAAUCUGCUGGGGAGGAAGCAUAAACCACAAAAAUGCAAGACGUUUUGACAAACUGGUGAAAAGGCUGGCUCUGUGGUUGGACUCAAGCUGGACUCAGUGGAGGAUGUGGUGGAGAGAUCUAUACUGAGGAAGGUGGAGUCUAUUCUUAAGAACAUGGAUUACCCACUUCACAACACCUUGAUGGACCAAAGGGCAAAUGGUGGUGGACGGCUCCUCUCUCUUUGCUGCAUGACAGAAAGAUUCAGAAGAUAUUUUGUACCAACAGCCAUCAGACUUUAUAUCUCUUGUGUAAAUAAUAGAAAACUUUUAGAGAAAUAUUAUGUGAGACAACAGACAAUUGAAUUUCUCUUCAGGGGUGAAUAAAGUUCUUCUUAUCCUUAUUCUAUUCUAUUAUAUUCUUUUUUUCUAUUCUAUUCUAUUCUUUUCUAUUCUAAUUCUAUUCUGUCUGGCUUUAAUCUAUUCUAUUCACUUGUAUUUUAUUCUAUUACGUUGUGUUCUGUUUUUUCUAUUCCAUUAUAUUCUGUUCUUUUUUCUAUUCUUUUCUUUCCUGUUCUAUUCUAUCAUGUUCUGCUCUUUGCUUUAUUCUGUUCCAUUCUUUUCUUCUCUAUUCUUUCUAUUCUAUUAUGUUUGGUUCUGUUUUUUUUGUAUUCUACUCUUUUCUACUCUGUUCUAUUUUAUUCUUUCUGUUCUAUUUUUUUGCGUUUUUUUCUUAUUUCUCUUUGAUGUUUCAUUUUCAACCUCAUUUGUAGAUGCAGUAAUGAACUGUGAUCACUGACAAUUGUUUUUCCAAGUGCUACACAAUUUUACUGGUUGAAGAGUGUCAAAUGGAACCAGGUGGCACCAAAUCUAUGUAAAUUUCAAUGAAGGCCUAGCUCUGGUCUUUUUGUGCAACCAUGGUCAUGAGCUUCUUUUUAAAAUUGAUUAUAUCUAUGAUAAAACAGGUUUUGUUGUUUAACCUUCAUUGCUCUUUUGACUACAUUGAGCGGGAUGAUUUGCUUAUUUACAGAUCUGUCUCAACAUGUAAGUAGAUGGGAAAAGUCUUUGUAGGCCAGAGUGCAUCAUGGGACUGACCCAGAUGUUGUUUUAAGAUUUGGACACAAUUUUGAAUCUUCAAAGCGUUGGAACAAUUCCCGGGGGCCUGGGUUCAUGGUUUUACUCUACACUGUGAUUUUUAGUGAUAAAUCCUUUAAUUUAGUCUUCAAAAAAUUCAGUAUACAGGAAUUGCAUUCUUCCACUCUUCUACACUCUUUUUAUACAACCCUAUUUCCAAAAAGUUAGGAAUUUAAAUGCAGAAAAUUGUUUGUAAAAAGUAGUUUCAGGCUCAUGUUUCUUAUCGGUUUUCACCAAUCCUCUGUUGACUUUAGUGAAUCCAGCAGACCACAUUCUGGAGUCUGACAGUCAAAUGUUGUCCAAUUCCUGCCUGAUAGAGUUUUCAGCUGCUCAACAGUUCAGGGUCUCCUUUGUUCUGUUUAGGGUGUCAUGAUGCUCCAAAUGUUUUCAAUGGGGGACAAGUCAGGACUGCAGGCAGACCAGUUUCUUAGCAGGACUCUUCUCCUACAGAGCCAUGCUGUUGUAAUCCCUGUUGUCAGAAUAUGGUUUGUCAAUCUUUUUUUUUUUGUUCCAUUGUAGUCUAUCUAUUCUAUUCUAUUAUGUUGUGUUCUGUUUUUUAACCUUUUUUAUUUUACUCUGUUUUGUUUUAUUCUGCUCUAUUCUAUUCUUUUUUUCUAUUCUAUUCUAUUCUAUUCUAUUCUAUUCUAUUCUAUUCUAUUCUGUUUUGUUCUAUUCUGAUUUGUUCUAUUCUAUUCUGUUUUUUUCUAUUCUAUUCUAUUCUAUUGUGUUCUGUUCUUUUUCUCUAAUUCAUGGUUCAUUUUUAAUCUCUUUUGUAGAUGCAGUGAUGAACUGUGAUCACUGACAAUGGUUUUGAAGUGAUUUUGAGUCCAUGCAGUGAUUUUCCCUGCAGAGUCCUGCCUGCUUUUAAUGCAGUGCUGCCUGAAAACCUGAAGAUCAGGAUCACUGGGUCUUGGUUUUGGUCCUUGUUCCUUGUAUACAGAGAUGUACUGUGUUAUGUCUAAAAGCCUUCGACAAACAUGGUGACUAUCAAGUUUAAGGUUUUCUUCAUGAAGUCGAUCAGACUUCAAAGAAAACCAUUGAAUUUCUUCCUCAUCUACAUUUCUCCUGGUGCUCUGAUUCUUUUAGGAUCAGAAAUGUUAAAACGAUUAAACUUGUCAUAGGAGUAAAUUGUCAGUUUGAUGCCCCAACAUUAGUAUUUGUGGUAAAUAUGAUUAAUAGGGUAAGAAAGUCUUUUCUGACCAGGAUUAAUGAUAUGACUGAUCAGACAUUGUUAUUUAAACAGCCUGCCCCAAAGAUCAAACCCUCUUCAGAUCUGGACUCAUUUGAGGUCAAACUGAAGUGUCUCAUGUCUCCUCUCCGUCAUCACUGUAAAGCUGUUCCCUUAAAAAUUUGUACAAUUUGAAGGUUUUUCAGACUCCUCCAAUGUCAACAAUGUUUCCUGGCAGCAGGUUUCUUCUCUCUGUUUCUCUGAGUGAUGUCUGGCUGUUCAGAGUGACAUUUUGUUUCUCAGAGUUUUUGGACAAAAUGCUUAAUCUUGCCCUGUGUCUCUAAUGAAAUAAAGGUGUUUUUUAUUCUUUAAAACUCAAAUGUGUUGGUCCAAAAACAACGACCUGGUUACUUCCUUUAAUCUUCUCUGUCAUCAGCUGUUGGACAGACUUUCUCUCUGCUAGACUGGAGCUCCAACAAAAACUGAUGUCAGGGAUGGAUUAUCCAAAAGUUCAGUUUUCCUUUCCCACAAAUAAGAGCUUAAUUUCCCAGAAAUCUGAGAGAUGAAUAUCUCAGAUUUUCAGCAGAGGACCGAUCGAUCGAGCGAAGAUGUUUUUCUGUCUCUAUUUUUUAGAUAAGGGUGGAAUAACUUUGCUGUGAUGGAACUUUGAAGCUGCUGUCAGGGGAGGAAGGAGUUGACUGAAGGCUCUAUUUUCGUGAUCGUCCAGCGGAGCCCGGAGUACAGCCAGUUUGGUAUUUUCAUGGACUGAUAAAUCCAUAAAUAAAAUAAAUCAAUAUUUAUUUACGUUUUUAUUACGUCAUACAUAAAUUAAAUAUUAGCAGCAUCUUCAAGUAUUGUUUUAAAUUAUUAUAUAGGGGUAAACAACGGAUGAAUUGGAGAGUCUGUUGACUCCGUUGUAUGUGUAGCCUUGCUAGCUCGAGGCUAUUGACUCUAUCGUAAUCAUAGACUGUAUAUAAGAUGGACACCGUGGUUCCGCCUUCCGCCUGUAUACGGAUUUGAAGCCAAAAAGCUCUCGGUAAUUCUGGGUUUUUCUCCACUUCCUUGAAACCAGAGCUGUGCAGUAGCGUUGUGCGCAUUCGGCCGCGCAGUCGCCGAGAGUCCCUGUGAUGACGCUCGGCUCAAACAGCGUAUUCCCCCGGAAGAGCUACGCAAUCCCUGAACGCCCAUAGGCUGUACCAGGUGUCAAUCAUAGAAAACAUGAACCCCCUAAUAACUUUUAAAAACGGAGCUGUACAGAAUAAAAAGGACUUGGGCACAAACCAGUCUUACUGUAACUAUAUGUCAACAUCACAACCGGGGGAGAAAAAAUUAUGUUCUGUGUAAUAAAUUUCUAAAGUUUGUCCACAGUCCCAUAAGCUUUGCUGGCGGAGGCGGGAUUUAUGACCUGUACUGCAGCCCACCAUCAGAGGGUGCUGUUCUCGGAGUGGCUUCACCCAGCGAGGAGGCAGACUCUGUCCAUCUUAUAUACAGUCUAUGAUCGUAAUAAAGUCCCCCUCCUUUGUCUUAUCAUCACUGAAUCUCUGCAGCUCUCCCUCCGUGUGUGUGUGUGUGUGUGUGUGUGUGUGUGUGUGUGUGUGUGUGUGCGUGCAUGCAUGCGUGUUCAUCGGGAAAAAAUAGACCGACAAGCAACACCGUAAAUCCUUUUUUUCUAAUUUAUUAAAAUAUAUUUUAUUUUGAAAAUUGACCAGAUUCUCUCGCAUCUCCCUUUCCCGACUUCCUGGCUGGUCUGAUCUGCUCUGUCCAGCUUUACAAUUGGCGCUUGCGACGCGCGCGCUGUGUGAACUGUCACAUAGGUUAACAUGGGCGCCGAUCCGAAACUCGGUGCGCGGCGCUUCCGCGUGCGGUGCUUCCUGUGUGAACCAGGCGUAAGACGUAGCAAGGGAGGAGAGAGGGCGUGGAGUGGGUUUAACACAGCCGAGACCUGUAUUGGCCAAUAACAUCAGCUCCUCUCGUUGCCUUAAAUCCGCACAUAUUAAAGUUGCAUAUAUUCAAACCUCACGUGACAAAGGUGUGUUGUGCGCAGAGAUCACAACAUAAACUCCAAUAAUGGCAUUAAAAUCGGAACCAUCUGUGCGUAAUGACGCAUCGCGCUCCGUGGCCUGGCUCUUUCUUUCAUAGAUGUUGGCAUAUAAAAUAAAUUUGGCUCACAAAACUGAAUAUUAUAAUAUUCGUAUGUUGGCUUAAAGUAAAUAACUCAUCUGAUCACUGAAACAAAUCAUCUGUUCAGCCGCCGCAGCAGCAGCUGCAGCAGGACGGGGAGAGGACAGGAGACAUGUCCAGGUCGAGCUGUGAGAAAUAAGAGGAAGAGGAAAAAAGAAAAGGAGGGAGACGAAUUACAUAUCUUGUUCACUUCAUCAUGUGUGUCUAUUUACUAGAUAUUUAAUUAAAUUUAAUUUAAUGCGGCUUCAGCUGUGUUAAUUUGGUCAGGUUGUGUGUCCAAACGCGUGCCAAACGCGCUCAUCAGAUAAGAUAUAGAUCAGAAUAUAUCUAUAUAGAUCUAAAUGUAUGUGCUGACUCUGAUUAUUAGUUGUUGAUGAUUAUUUAUUGCACUGAAAUGUGCCUGACACUGUGGAAACCUGCCGGUGAGGUAUCGGUGACGUAUGCCGUUAUGUCACAGGUCUACCAAAAUACCACUAGACCAGCUGCGCUCCGCCUGCACUGAAAGCUGACCAGGUUUGAAUCGGCGAGCUUUCAGCGCACUUUAUACGACGGUGGCGAGCAAGAAAAUGUCACUGCGCCUUCUGAUACUGUCGACACCUCUCCCUACCACGCCCAGCUUGGCGGAUCUCGGUUCGCCUCAGUCCACGAAAAUACCAAACUGGCUGUACGCCGGGCUCCGCCGGACGAAAAUAUAACUGCGCGGGGUCCGCCACCCUUCGCCACCUUACCGGCGUACACGAAAAUAGAGCCCCUUGUGUCCACUAAUGCUGAGAGACCAACACACGCAAAUUCAAAGCCUAAAGGGUUAAAGCAUCAGUGUGCUCUUGUGCUGUUUGCAGACAUUCAGAUUUAAGGUAAUUGGGCAUUUAUGUUGUUGGCUUUUUGCAGAUAUCAAAUGAGCUGCUAUGUGUUCAAUGUGUCUGAUUGGCUGAUGCUGAUGUAAACAAACCUUUUAGUUUCUCAAGUCUUGGUUUUUGGCCAGAAUUGACCUAAUACUCUUAUUCUGGUGGCAUUUGUGGAUUAGAAACAAACAGGAAUGUCAGAGUUUGGAAGACAUGACCCAUGUUUUAGGAAAUAUUAGAUAUUGGUUUGAAUAAUUGAUCCUUAAAGUCUUUGCAUCAGUCAUUUUUUCAUUUUCAUUUUCCUGCUGUCAGACCGAAUGUUUAAAACCAUGAGGUGUGUUUCGGUUUUUGGACUUUGAGCAUUGUGAUAAAUUUGUUUUGUGAAAUCUUUAUGAUUUCAGGCCAUGUCUGUACAGCUCUGACGUCGCAGUGAUGGAGGAGUUCAAUCAAUCGUUUAUUUGGCAUUGUCAUAAAAUAACAACCAAAUUCCGCUGGAGCGUACAACCUUACAUAGCAUAAUGUCGUCCAAAAGGUCAGAACCUGCAGUGAUUAGGACAGACAGAUUGAGAGAAGAAACAUUUACUCUGUUUGAUACUGGUAGCAGAUCUGUAUGUCUCCACAAACAUCGCAUGAACCCUUAUUUUUCUGGAGUAUCAAUGGUUUAGUGUUUGGAAACACUAACUGCGGUUUGAACAGGAAGAAUUCCUGGAGACAAACAAACAUGUGAGCUGUAAACAAACAAGGUUGUGAGGCCGAGAUCUUUUUAAUCAGACUGCGUAUUAACCCGACUGGGCCUUUUUAUGAGGCCAGCGGCAGUGGUCAGUAUGCUCAUGACUCUGUGUUUACGCCGUUUCUGCUGUGAUGAUUGCAUAUUUACGUGUGUACUCCUCUGUAAUGUGGCGGCGAAUUACAUCACACUCCUGUGGUUUUUCAAUUACCACAGUGACAGGCCGGCCAGCAGUAAUGACCUGAGAGUGCCCGGCUCUGCUCAGCUGCUCCCUUAAACCAGUUUGACUUUGGGUGUCUGUCAGAGCAGCCUGUGUUUACAUUGAGCUCUAACAGGAGGGGGUCUACGCCCUGUGUGAGGUACUCUGGUUCUGCUGACAGCUCGCCAAGGCUGCCUGCCGCCUCAGCCCUUGCUCAUCCUCCACAUACUAACGCUGCCUGAUGGACACGGAUAAUGGAGCAAUAUCUGUGUCAACAGCCGGCCAUAAUGUUGCAGAUCUGCUGCAUUUGGAAGGAAUGCAACUUUCUGAAAGAGCUAUCGUUUUUCCUUCACAGGCCUCAUCAACGCUAACGCCCCAACCCUGCUGCCCUGGAACAGAAUUCAGAUGAAGUGGUCCCAUUUUGAGCCUAUCCCUCCCAUCCCCGUCCUACUGAUUUGUAGUUAAAUCAUGGCUGUCAGUGUAGUAGCCUUGAUUAAAGUUCAGGGGUUUAAUAGAUCAUUUUAAAUAACCCCCAAUUACUCCCCUCUCCCAAGCCCAUCCACCUGGAUCCCUGCCCUGGGUGCAUGGCAGUCUUCAACCAACGCGGGGGCGAGCUAAGUCCAGCCUCGUGGUUCCUGUCUAUUCCCUGCGGACAUUGCGCUGCAGGCCUCCACCGACAUUCUCAGCUGUGUUCAAUCUGCUCUGAGACAUGCUGGCUAUGAGAAAAGGCCAAGUGCGCGCGCACACACACACACACACACACACACACACACACACACACACACACACACACACACACACACACACACACACACAUUCAUCCAGGGGGAGAGAUGUGGAAAAUCCUGGACAGUUAGUGAGCUUUGUUCACUUGGUUCAGCUGGAAUCUGUCCAGAAACACCCUCACACACACACACACACACACACACACACACACACACACACACACACACACACACACACACACACACACACACACACACACACACAGAGCUCCCAGGUGACUGGAGUCCGCUCCAAUUAAUCCUGUUUAACCAGUCUAAUCACACUUUAGCACAUUAAUCCUAUUUUCCAUCUAAAACACAUCAGCAGGCUCCGCCCAUUCGCUGCUCUCACUCUAUUUUUUCUUCUUCUCUUUUUUUUCUCUUUUAAAAAUAUUAUUACUAUUUUUUUAUUGCCACCGCAAAUCAGAUGAAACCCAGAGCCGGCAGCUCGGCCUGCACUCUCACUGAACUCAGACUUUUAAUCACUUUUGCCUUUUUUCCGGCUCAGCUCAGAGGUUGGAUUUAUAGCAUGAUGCUGAUGCCUUCACUCAGAAUACAUCCCUGCAGAGCUGAACAAUUACCUCUGCUGAGGUAAUAAGUAAAAGGAGCAGUGAGGAAGUGCAGUUUUCCCCCCUCACGCUGAUUAUGUUGUGUUUCUGUGUAUGCCAUGGAUACGGUCGCAGUAUCUUAUCAGUUUGACAUCUUAAGUCAGCCAGACAGGCAGAUAAUUUGAGCUACAUCCAUCUGCAGGAGGAGCCCCCCUGGAGGCGGGUCAUGAUUCAGUAUAUCUAGACCCUCAUUUAAUGCUCAGCUGUGUAAUUUCACUGCGGAUCAUCUGGAGGCUGAGAGUUAUCAGGAAGAGGGAGGUUGUUGUUCUCUUAAAUUACCUCUUCAGGGUCCGUACAUUUUAGAAAGUCGGGUUUCUGCCUCUUUACUGCCGUGCUGAGGUGUUUAGCGCCCCCUGAGGCUCCUCCUGGAAAGCCCUGGAAAAAUCACAGAUCUCACCUCUCCUGGAGCUCCUGAAAGCCUGCGGCCGGGGGUCCUGUAAAAGGUGCUGGUGCAUCGAUAAUUGAGCCCCGCAAAGCAAACAGAGCGUCAGAAAUGGUGUUUUUAAUAGGCGCCCACUGCCGCGGCUGUAGCAGCAGCAGCGGUAGAAAAGCAGGAGGCAUUAAGCUAAUUGAGUUUUAGAGCUGGAGUCAAACUGGCAGAGAGUGAUAUCCAGAGCGAUGAAAAUAAACAAAGAGCUACUCACAGGGAAACAAACGGCCUGGACGCCGUGUAAACCCUGACAUCAGGCUGCUGGGUCCCUGCUCAGCAUGUGAGCAGCAUGAUGUAAUGGGAGCUCGGCUAACCCAGCACACAUCCAGACCCCCCCUCCCCUCCACCCCCUCCCAACACACACACACACACACACACACACACACACACACACACACACACACACGGCUGCUCCUGGGGACGUGUUUUUAUUAAUCACAGGUUCAUUAGUGCACAGAGGCGCCUGUUAGAAACAGGAAAAAACACAGUGAUUGCUUGACAAGUUUCACUCCUAAUGUGACAGCUAAGCAUGAUGAAGAGACAACAGGCAUUAAUCCUGCAGGCAGGGGUGGGGCAGAGAGUCUGAAGGCCUGCAGGGUCUGAAUGUAGGGACCGGCACACAAAUCUACAGGGUUCGUGUCAUCAGAGUUCAGUUUAUGAUGGAUGCAAAACCAGCAGAAACUGCACAAACCCUCAGAUGGUCCCCUUGAUAGCUCAGCUGGUAGAGCAGAGGACUGUAGAAGAGCCUCUAGACAUCCUUAUGUUGCUAGUUCAAAUCUGCCUCAAAGGAGUGACCUGAUCUUUCAGCUUAGAGAAGAGAGGGUAACAGGAAAGUUUAUUACGGUCACACCACCUCCAGCCCCUUAGCCCAAGAACCAUCAAUUUUUUUUCUGCACAUAAAUUCAUGUCUUGUGGGUUAAAUUUCCAGUAUGUGCAACUUUUAAAGACAAAUUACUUUAUCAAAUACAUUUAUUGUGUUUUUAAUCUAAAUACAUUUUUAACUUGUGUGUGAAUGGAUCAUUAAAUUGUUCCAAGAUGAUCGUGUUUGACGAAGUUUGAUCAUCUUCAAAUAUGCUCAUCUUUUUUGCACAGUUUAAUAAAGCAUGCAGUGGGGGUCACCUCACUCUUUGUGUGUGUGUGUGUGUGUGUGUGUGUGUGUGUGUGUGUGUGUGUGUGUGUGUGUGUGUGUGUGUGUGUGUGUCUGUGCGUCUGUGUCUCUGUCUGCGAAAUACAGUCAGUUCAUCCAGGAGUGAUGGUACCAUCCUGUUCAGAGAUCUAAGGGAAGGUCUGUUCAGAUUGAAUUUUAAUUCUAUUUAUGUGUAAAAUAAUGUUCCUGUACCCUGGAUAUUAAAAAGCAUUACUGUUAAAACAUUAAAAAAUGUUAUAUUGGUUUUUACUUAAAUAAUGGUCACAAUAAAGGGGGUGUUUUUUUGGAAAUUACAAAGAAAUGGUAGUUAUCUUUAGUAUUUAAUUAUGUCAAAAAAUGUGCAUAAAUGAAGACAAAAAUGAAAACCUAAAUGACAUGACUGAAUAUUUAGCCUAUUUUAUUUUUUAUUAUUUAUGAAAUGAUAAACACAAAAUUCUGAUAAGCAGUGAGACAAUUAGUACAGUUGCUAAUUAUUCAUCCAUUGUAUCAUAAAAAAACAACAUACAGACAAUAGACCAUGACAGUUGGGUAAAACAUGUAGAAAUCUGAUACAAAAAGUCAAUCCUGAUUCACAUGAAGGUUAAAAGUCUAUACACAAAACAGAAGAGGCAAAGAGGUUACCCAUGAUUGCAAGUCUUGCUUGUUUCAAGAUACUGUGAUUGACAUGGUUUCGUACAUGAGCUUGUUUCCCUUUGAUGGACACCACCAUUUGCCCAAAUUUAGUUCUGUGCCAUGUUAUAUCACACCACACUCUAGUCAGUGUUCUGGUGUUUGCUCUAGAAGAUAUUUUCUUCAUGAAGUCCUGUAGUAACCAAGGGUAACCAAGUUUUUUUUUUUUUUUUGUCAAGAGUUUUAAGUGUUCACUUGAACAGAGACUUGAUUGGUUUUAGAACACUCUCUGAUGUAUGUAACUAUGUUGUAUUACAGUAGGAGAUGGAAGUACAUGCGUAUAGGAUCAGGCAGAGCCUGAUGUCAGAAAAGCCAGAGACAUAGUCAGGGAUCACGCCAACAUCAGUGUCUGUACAUUUUUCUGAGCUUUUCUCAUAGUUGCAAUUUUAUGAAUGUACUCAAACACAUAUCAGCAGAAUAUUUUUCAUUAACAAACAAUGAUGUGAAGGAAGAUCAUGAGCAGGAGUUUUUCUUCGACCUCUUUACCUGCUAAAGAACCUGUUAUGGUCCGUGAAAGCCGAAAAUCCUUUAUUUUUUCAAGUAACAGAUCCAGGACUUAUUUCUGCUCUGCUGUUGGUUCAGCUUUACUCUGAUAGUCGAAAACAUAGAAAGGUUUUAAGUGUGUUCAUGUAAUGAGGUUUUAUUGACUUUGACGGGCUUGGUACAGUGGACCCACUCAGAGGAGCCAAAUCUCACCUCCUCUUCUGUUCACGCCCCUUACAGAAGUGUUUUUCCAUUUUCUAUCAGCAUAUUUACUCCAAACAAAAGUCCCUCAUUACUUUGAUGUUGAAAUUCUUUAUUGGGAAUACCCCUUGAGAUGAACCAUCUUGUUUUCAAGGGGGUCCGCAAUGCAGACACAUGAAAAUCACAUACAAAAAAGCAAUACAGAAACAAAAUAGACAAAAAGAAAUACAAAUCACAAUAGACAUCAUCACAGAUUCAGACACCUCAACUAAAGACAAGGGGCUCUUUUCAUGCCUCGCCGGAGACGUGCCACAAGCGCAGCGUAAGUCAGGUCCGCCACGCCGACAAGGCGUUCCCAAGCACAAUUUGGUAUUUUGGUGAGCAGCACAGCCCGGCGUGAGUAUCCCCCCUCCCUAACUCAGCUCCUCCCAGCGCCGUAAGUCGUAGCGGGGGAGGAGAAAGGGCGUGGAGUAGGUUUAACACAGCCGAGACCUGUUUUCACCAAUCACAUAAGCUCCUCUCCUUGCCUUUAAAUCCGCCACAGGCGAGGCGUAUUACAAUUUUCAUGAAGAAGUCAAAGAGAUCAAGAGAUGUCUGAAGACAGUAAUGCCACAAGAUGGCGACAGAGGGCAGCUCCUCAACAAGUGUCACUGCAAGCGCUGCAUUGGACGUCCUCCACACUCUCUCAUAUGAGCGCAGAUGGAUUUGGUGUGUGUAAUGUUGGACCCACUGGUAAGACAAACACCCUUUUCCACAAAUAAAGACACUCACAUAAAGUUACAUAUAUUCAAACCUCACGUGACAAAGGUGGGUUGAGCGCACAGAUCACAACAUAAACUCCAAAAAUGGCAUUAAAAUUGGAACCAUCUGUGCGUAAAUGACGCAUCGCGCUCCGUAGCCUGGCUCUUUCUUUCAUAGAUGUUGGCAUAUAAAAUAAAUUUGGCCCACAAAACUGAGUAUUAUAAUAUCCGUAUGUCGGCUUAAAGUAGAUAACUCAUCUGAGCACUGAAACAAAUCAUCUGUUCAGCCGCAGCAGCAGCAAGACGGAGAGAGGACACAGAGACAUGUCCAGGUCGAGCUGCACGUGAAAUAAGAAGAAGAGGAAGAAAGAAAAGGAGGGAGACGAAUUACAUGUCUUGUUAACUUCAUCAUGUGUGUUUAUUUACUAGAUAUUUAAUUUAAUUUGAUGCGGUUUCAGCUGUGUUGAUUAGGUCAGGUUGUGUGUCCAAACGCGUGCCAAACGCGCUCAUCAGAUCAGAUACAGAUCAGAAUAUAUCUAUAUAGAUCUAAAUGUAUGUGCUGACUAUGAUUAUUAGUUGUUGAUGAUUAUUUAUUGCACUGAAAUGUGCCUGACACUGUGGAAACCUGCCGGUGAGGCAUCAGUGACGUAUGCCGAUACGCCGCCGGUCUACCAAAAUACUACUAGACCAGCUGCGUUCCGUCUGCGCUGAAAGCUGACCAGGUUUGAAUCGACGAGCUUUCAGCGCACUUUACACGCCACUGGCGAGCACGAAAAUGUCACUGCGCCCGCUGAUUCUGUCGACACCUCUCCCUGCCACGCCACCACGCCCAGCUUGGCGGAUCUCAGUUCGCCUCCGAGCGCCUCAGUCCACGAAAAAUACCAAACUGGCUUUACACCGGGCUCCUCCAGACGAAAAUACAACUGCGCGGGCUCCGCCACCCUCCGUCGCCUCACCGGCGUGCAUGAAAAUAGAGCCCAAGGACUUAGCCAAACAAACAACAGUAACACAUCACAAAACACAAGGUACAAAUAAGGGUCAUUGCAUAACAGACCUGAUAUACAGAAUACUGAUGCCUUAUUGAAAACAUGAGCAAGAAGUCCCAAAAUAAGACGAUAGAGCAGUUUUGAACAGUUUAAAAGAGGAGAUAGACCGAAUAUGUAUCGGUAGGUUAUUCCAAUCAGAAGGAGCUUUGAACCUGAAGGAUUUUUUAGAGACUGAUUUGAAAACAGUAGGAGUGACAAAGAAGACUUGUGAGCAAUGUCUAAAAUCCUUUAUUUUAUCAAGUAACAGAUCCAGGACUUAUUUCUGCUCUGCUGUUGGUUCAGCUUAACUCUGAUAGUUGAAAGUGUAGAAAGGUUUUUAGGUGUGUUCAUGUAAUGAGGUUUUAUCGACUUUGACGGCCUUGGUACAGUGGACUCGCUCAGAGGAGCCAAAUCUCACCUCCUCUUCUGUUCGCGCCCUUACAGAAGUGUUUUUCCAUUCCUAUCAGCAUAUUUACUGCAAACAAAAGUCCCUAAUUACUUUGAUGUUCUCACUCUUCUGUUCAUGGACACAAAGUGAGAAUUCAUAACUUUUCCAAAUCAGGAGGAGGCGACAGAGCAGCCAGACCUCUGUGAGAGGUCAACCUAAGCUUCGCUUUCGGUUUGAACACUCAAUGUGUAUUUGCUGGUUUCCCCUGAUGUGAGCUGCUGAAGGGCUUAGGUCUGAGAGGGUCACAAGUCCUCUGCUGACCCUGUUUUCACCUGGGACUCAUGACAUAAGAACCACCGCACUGCUGCUGCAUGUAUGUGUGUGUGUGUGUGUGUGUGUGUGUGUGUGUGUGUGUGUGUGUGUGUGUGUGUGUGUGUGUGUGUGUGUGUGUGUGUGUGUGUGUGUAUUGAGUGAAAAAGGCUGACUCAGCAGACUUGGGGCACACCAAACACAUCAAUAUUAUUUACUCACUUAUUUUAAACAAAUUACUCCCUCUAACCAACAAACGAUGUAAUGUGGGAGAGGCGGGAAUUCCUUCACUUCACACAGUUGGAGUAUGAUUCCAUCAAAAGUGGUUGACGUGGACUUGACUGUGAGGAUCAGUUAGCAAAUAAUCUGAGCUCCUCACUCAUGUUCCUCUCUCUGGGUAGCAGCAUCAGUUUUUUCUCCAUUUAUAGAUAGAUGAACCUCCAUGGUCUGUUAGUGUUAUACAUCACCAGGGAAUCUCUAAGCUGAUUGGCUCUUGCUGCAUGAAUGAUUUGUUUGAGUUCAGAUCUUUUACUUGCAAAUGAAGCAUGAUGAUGGUGUUCGAAUUGCACCACCUGCAGGUAUAGUUUGCUUAAUUUGUGCCGCAUUAUUGACAUCUCCCAACAAGUAAAUGUCUGAUUGUGCCCUAAACUUUACUUGUACUUUACUUGUGUAAAUGUGGUGUGACCACAGCAUCAAGCCUCUUAUGUCACGGUCAGACCAGAUGCAAAUAAAUGGAGCGAAUCUUUUCUGUGAGUAAAUUAUAUCCAAAGUCAAUGUAAAGAUGUGAUCAGAUGUAAGUUCUUGUAGGGUGAUGUGAAUGAUGCUAAUGAGCUGUGUGCAUCAGUAAAAACAAAACAGUAAUUCACUUUAUUGGAUAAAUUCUUGAGAAUUGAAAAAACUCUGAGCCCCAGAAAUGUUAUGACAGUCAUUCAACAGGGAGAUGGUGAUGUUUGUCAAGAAUAGCAGUUCCCCCAUCUGAAAAAUGGAGAAUAAAACGAUGGUGAUGGUGAGCAGCCCCAUUGAGCUCUUGGAUACGACUUGUUUCUAUUAAAACAGGAGAGGAGGAAAGUCAGUGAGGAGGUCAGAUUAUCUGGUUAGUCAUGAAAACACAGCAGAUCCAUAACAGGACUGAGUAUUUGUACUAACAUAACAGCGUAAUAACGGUGUCCCAGUGUGCCAUUACACAUCACAAUACCUCACAGCAGGAUGGACACUCUGCAGGUGUAACAGGACGUAAAUAUCCAGCUCUGUGUUUGUCUUUGCACACGACACCUGCUCUCUGUCAGCACCGUCAAACAUUCAAAAACAAGAAAUAUAAAGAAAGCAUGUUUUUGCAAGUUAUGAAUAUUAGUUUCUUCACAGCCAGCGAAAACUCCUGACUGGAGCUUUCAAAAGGGGAAUUAUCAAUGCUUUGACAUAGGCCUGAACGAUAUAUCGUUUGACUAUCGUCAUCGCGAUGUAAUAAUAAUAAUAAUAAUAAUACAUUUUAUUUAAAAGCGCCUUUCUGAGCACCCAAGGACACUUUACAGGGCAUAAAAACACAGCUAGAAACAUAAUUAAAAUAAAUAAGAACAACAUACAAGUGUGAAAGAAGACAGUUAAAGUGAGUAUGCGAUUCGGAAUAGGUGUGUUUUGAGAUUGGAUUUAAAGUGGGGUAAUGAGUCCAUGUUCCUGAGGUCCGGGGGGAGAGAGUUCCAGAGUUUGGGAGCAGAGCGACUGAAAGCCCUGCUCCCCAUGGUGCUGAGCCGGGCAGAGGGGACAGAGAGGUGGAGGGAGGAGGAGGAUCUGAGGGAGCGUGAGGGGGUGGAUAUGUGGAGGAGAUGGGAGAGGUAGGGGGGGGCAAGGUUAUGGAUGGCCUUGAAAGUGUACAGGAGGAUUUUGUAGUUGAUUCUGAACUUGAUGGGGAGCCAGUGAAGCUGCUGAAGGACAGGGGUGAUGUGGUGAAAAGAGGGGGUUCUGGUGAUAAUGCGGGCUGCAGAGUUUUGGACAAGUUGAAGUUUAUGGAGGGAUUUGUGAGGGGCACCGAAGAGGAGUGAGUGCGAUAGUCACAUCGCAGAGCCUGCGAUAUUGGAGGUGAAUGAACUCAUUUAAUUUAAAGGGUAACCGACUGAGAUACACUCCAUGUGACUCUGCAUGUGCUGUGCAGCGAUCCACCAAUCGCCUUCGUCCUUAACUCAGUUGCCAAUCAGACUCACUUCUCAGUUGCCAAUCAGACUACCCUGCCAGCUGUCAAUCAAAAUCAGGGAGGAGAAAACCCACCCCUGCACAUGUUCUGCACAUGGAGGGAGACGUGUGUCCACUGAGAAUUACUUUCGGAACUUUACUCAUGACUGUUAAGCUCAACAAAUAAGAACUGUAUGGGUUUUAAAUUGUACAUUUCCGUGGACCACUCUACUAUAAGCAGUGCGCGUUUUGCGAGGUGCAUGCAAUUCUCGGAGGACAUGCGUUUCUCGGCACAACACCGCUAACAACAACAACAACGAUCGCAAAAUGAACAACGAACAAGCGAAAACCACCGAAAAUGAAGAUUUGUUGCCAAAAAGAAAAAGGAAAGUCAGUUAUCUGGAAUUAUUUCGGUUAAAAGAAGGAUGAUGUCGACCAAAACACGUCUUCUGUGUUCACCUGUUGCCACAAUAACGUCCCAGCACAAUAAAAGCUAAAAAUAUCUCUGAGACAGACAGAAGCCGUUCUACUAACAUUCACAAAAAGAGGUAAGAUCAGAGCAGAUUAACUGUCCUCAAGAUUUCAGCAGUGCAGCAUAACAUUAAGUGCUAUUCAGGUCAUCUGGUGAAAGUACUGUAUUUUUAAUAUCGCAAUAUAUAUCGCAGGGUUGAAAAAAUCGCAAUAUUAUUUUUUUCCAAUAUCGCGCAGCCUUACUUUGACAUAGUUAGAGGGAUCUGUGAGCCUCAGACCAAGAGAAGGAGUUCAGGCUGAUAAUGAAACAGAAUUUAUAUAUUAAGAAAGAAAAUGACAAAAAUGACCAUCUGUAGCUGAAGUUUAAAAAAAAAAGGGUGGAUCAAAUAUUUUCAGUGGCUCAGAUAAACCAGUUACUGAUAAAUCAAAAUUAUAACACAUUUGCAUAAACACAUUUGUCUCCUCUCAUAAUCAUUACAGUUUUUAAAAUGUGCUGAAUAUACAUCAGUUAUGCCUUUAGCAGGGUUUAAAUAUGUGGAAGUAAUCUGUGAGUUAACAUUGUACAAUCAUCCGAUUGCUUUAGAUGAUCAUUUAACAGUCAAAUAUUGAUUAUGUUUUUAUUCUUGUUAUUAGGAUUAAGGUUUAGCCUUGAGAUGAAACACCUAAUUUUAAAGGGAGUCCAAACAAAAUCACAAACACAGCAAAGAAGAAAAUCAGAUGGAUAAAUAUAUAUGUAUAAUAAUAUACACAUAUAUGUAUGUAUGUGUGUAUAUAUGUAUAUCUCUGGGCCCUGCUUUCACAUUAAACAUCAGUAAAAAAUCUGUUAAUGAAAUAUAUAUAUAUAGUAAAUGAAUUCUGUGGGAUCUGCUGGACCUGUUUGGUCUUAGGGUGCUUUGGUUGUUUUUUUUAAUUGAUUAAUGGUCUUUACAGUCAGACUGAAGAGUCUGACUCUUCAGGAUCACUAUAGACUGCUCUCGCCUCUCUGGAUCAGUUCAAUCCUGAUCCGCACUUUCCCUGCAGUUUGAGAGGCCGAGCUCACAUUCCAGCCGCGUGGAAACGUCUCGGUUCAGUUUCACACAUGCUCUGAGAAUGACUCUUUGUUUCCUCCCUUUUCCACAGCCGACACUUAAAGCCGAGCAGAAUAAAUAAGCUGGCAGCUUGAGGAAACACCAGAGAGCCGGAGUGUGUUUUCUGGAGCCGAGCCACCACUCGCUUGUCAAAGUGAAUGUAAGUAGGCCACAAGUGUGAGCAAUCACUGGAAAUUAUACGCUUUUAGAGGGAUUUCAUAUAAAGGUAUUAAGCCGGUCUGAGAUGUUUGGCAGCACAAAUGAUGGGAAUUAUAUUCAUGGACAUGAUGUGCGCCACAACUGUGGCUUCUUGUUGGUUCCAUCUAUUGCAUAUUUUCCUAAACUCUGCCAGCGUGUGAAGUGGAUCCCGGCAGAUUGAUGUAAUAGGAUAAAUGCGGCUCCGUGAGAGGGUUCGAGUGGGCCGGUGAGGGCACCACAUGGUAGGUGGGAUGGAAACUCUACUCUGUGGCCCGGAUCCUUUUCCCAGAGCCUCAGCUAGCCGAGGAGCGUCUCUGGAAACUUCAGAAAGCCUCUAACAGGCUGCUGACAGGAGGACGAGCCAGACCCCAGACCAUUUGGACCUUUUAAUCCAGUUUUCACCAACCGGUUUUAGACUUCAGUGUGAGCGGAGAUGAAUAACGAGGAAGAUAUGAUAUCCUCUGCAUUUAGUCUACCAUCAACUCUUAGAGAGGCCGAUUGCAGCCGGCACGCAGCCAGACAAUCAGGACCAAAUUUCAGGCUCGGUUUAACCCAGGGUUUGAUUUUCCUGGGUGUUACAGCGGGGCUCUGCUGCUUAUUAGCCUGUACACAAAGCUCUCUAAGCAUUUAUAUCAUAAAACACUGAGCAUCUGUCCAGGGCACUGAAAGCCCAGGGGUCAGAGUAGGCCGGUUCAGACCUGUGCCCCACUAUAAGAUUCAGUGGCAUUAUGCAGGUCUGCAGAGAGAGGGGAGCUGCUGUCUGCCAAAACCCACAUUCAGAUACACUCACAGUUGCAAUUUCAGCAAGAAAACAUCUGCUGUUAUGUCUUCUCAAACAACUCUGUCCACUUAUAAAUGGCUGAUAGUCCAUCCUGAUUAGUGUUUGGAUCCAGCUGUCUUUGUGAGAGCUUAGAGUUAACCUGAGCUCCCACCCACACACUGCAGCUGACUGAGAUCCAUGCUGUGGAGUCUUGAUAAGCAGACGUUUGAGUUUAAAUGUGCAGCAGUGUGAGGUGACGGUCAAGAAUCCCUCUGGAGGCUAAUAAAGCUAAUGAUCUGCAACAACCAGCUCAGUCUUCAUCAGGAGAGACCUGCUGCUGCUGCUCCAGAGACAACACAGAGUCACUCACACAUGCUGCAGUAAAUCUGCACUAUAGAUAAACCAUUAUGUUUGAUCUGUAAACCUGCUGCAAAUGCACAACACACAAAUAACACACAAAGCAAAAGAAACGCUCAAAACAAAAGCUGCAGAUUCUUUCAAUCAAAAGCUUUGAUUGUGUUUCUGCACCAUUCAUUGGGUAUGCAGUCAUUUUUCAGCAUGUUUUUGGAUGCAGUCUUUCACUUGUUUUGGAUGUGUGUGUGUUUUAUUUUUAUAAAGUUGUGUCAUUUUUGCACUUGCAGUCCAUUUCUCCUGAUGAAGAUCACGUGCUCUUGUUGGACCACGAUAGAUGUCGCUCUGUCACUCAUUUUAAGAGUCCACCGCUGAGCAUGCAUGUGUAUUUGUGCUUAUUAAACUUCUGGGAUGUUUAAAAAGUACUGACAUGUUUAUUUUUGAACCCCCUUGAAACUGUGAAGGUUGAGGUCUUAUGUAAAUAAGAAUUUAAUAUUACUUAUUAUCCCUUCAUAAAAAUUGCACAUCAACAAACAGACAAAAUGAAGAAAGCCUGUCAGCUCAGCUCACCUGAAACCUGCUGCAGAUGUGUGUUUGAAAAUGUUAAAUAUGGUCACGUUUUAGGACUUAUUUCUCCUUCUGUGAUCUCUCUGUUUACAGUGUCUAUGUCUGCUAAACCACCUGAAUUUAAAUCCUGACAGUUUGUAACAGCUAAUAUUUGACAGAAAUAUGAUGAUCUACUCAAAUAAAAGCAGUCUGGCAGAGAUAUCAUCCAGUGAGAUCCCUCCGCUCUCACUGUCAGUAGCUGUGUUUACAUGGGCGCAAAUAAUCAGAAUAGAGGCCCAAUCAGAAUAAAAAUGUGUCAUGUAAACAUGUCGAUCGGAAGAUUCUGAUCCAAUUUGGCUCAAUUGGAAAGAAUUUGUAUUCCGAUCGAGAGUGGUGGUUUAUGCUGAUCGUUAUUCCGAAAUGCGUGCAUGUAAACACUUAUUCUGAUCGUGACUCUCUAACCUGACUCUAUCUUCACCCUUUAGCCUUUGACUCAUUUACUGAGGCCAGUUCAGGAGGUUUCAUUAUUAACACUCUGAUAUAAAACACAACCACAGGUGCUGUGUCUGCUCCUCCGGUAACAUAACAAGGCGUACAUACAGCGUAAUGAUGAUGAUCUACACGCACAGUGCAACCUUUGACAGAACAGCAAAAUAAGUACACAAGGGCGCCAUCUAGUGACAACAUUUAAACAGGGGGGAAAAAUCCUGAAUUGGAUGAAGUGAGCCACAACCGCGUUUGUUGGUUUGUUGACAGCGCAGGCAUAAAUACAACUCUUCUUCUACGGUUGUUCCUACGGUCAGAUAACUCUGCGCAUUUCCAAAUGCUUAUAAUCUGAAUAAAAUCUGGUGCAUGUAUGCACACGUCAUGAUCGGAUUAUUUGAUUUUGCACCCAUGUAAACAGUGGAUUCAGAUGAUCAGAUCCCUCAAAUUUUUAAUCGGUGUAAGAAAUUUUGCACAAUCUAAACAUGGCUACUGUGGCUCAGGGUCAGAUCAGUUAUUUGGUUGCUUAUUUGGGGAUUUUUCUAGCUUUUAACCAUAAAAAGCAAAUAGAUGCACACCACAUCAUGUACUGAAGCAGUCUCUGAGUGCAGGGAAACCCAGACUGAUGCUUUUAUGGAGUGUUUUGGGUUCAAAUAAAGGCCUCAUUUCUCCAGGCCCAUGCAUCUCUGUGCCUUAACCUAUUUGAUCCCUAGUUAUGAUCGCUCACAGAAAAAACACCUUAUAAAAAUGGAUCCAGGAGGACUCGACAGUAGAGCAUUUAAAACAUCAAAAUCAGCCUGACACCUCCUGAAAAAAGGUUGAAUAUUAAUUUCAGGGAUGGAUCCUGCAUGAGAGAAAAGUUUAUUUCUUUGCAUAUGAAUAUGGUUUGAUAGAAACACAGCUAUCAUCUGUCUUCACUUUAUCUUUCUGCGAGUCUCUGCCUCUGUGCUUUAUACGAUGAUAAUCAAGCAGUGAAUAUCUGCGACUACCAGGAUCACAUUUCCUCUUUAGUAAACAUUUCAUAUGACUCAAUAAAAGCAGCCGCUGGGAAAAAUAACAGUAUAUCCCGUAACUCAGACCACAUGUAAUGAAUAUGAAAUAAAUGAAGCAUUAUGGCAGGAGGUAGACCACGUUAAUUCUCCAAUACAUCUCCUCUAUCAGUACAAUCUAAUCUAGCCAAGGCCGGGAGCAAUACUCUGAGUGCAGAGCUGCAUGUGUGUGCUGAUGGUUUACUCAUACCAGAGGACAAAUGAAAUGAUGUUUUUAUUCAUCUUUGACAUGCUGUUACCAGGUUCUGAUGUUUGUGACGUGGAGUCGCCUGAAGCCAAGGCUCGGAUGCAUUUGUGGAAUUACAGCGAGCGGAUCGAGCCAUUACUCCCCGACAGACACUCUGUCCUCCAACUUUCAAUUCUCACUCUGAGAUUUCCCAAGUCUCACGCUGGAUAAGAAACUUUUAGAUUGCCUGCUCUGACAGAUGAGUGUGUUCAAAUUGCUGUGAGAGGUUUUGUAGCUGGAAAAUGUAUUUACUGUUGAGGAUGCAGUGCGACGUUUCAUCUUAGGGGCGUCAUGGAAAAGCAGAGAGGAAGUAUUCAAGGUACUUUUACCUUCAAAAUGUUCAUCUAGAGCGAGUGGGUGAGACUGUCUGGGAGAAACUUUUUAAUGGGCCCAAUGCUGCAUAUUUAACAACACCAAUUUAAUAAGAAAUGGACACUGUGUAAAUUGCUGAUCAAAAAAACAACACAAUUUAAGUCUAUAUUUCUAUAUUUAAUAACCAAGUGAAAAAUGCUAUUGUUUCAUGAUAGAUAUAUGCUCAUUCGUUUUUAACAAGCUCUUGUUAAAAAAAAAUAAAUAAAUUUUUGGAGCUACAGUUUACUUCAGAUUGUCGUCUGAAAGCUUCAAAUAUCUUCAUAUUACAGAGAUAUUCAGAGGUCUGACUGUUGGAACAGGACACACCUGUCAUUAUCAGUGAAAAACUCUGAGAAGAUCAUAAGAUUCUGGUCUCUCUGCUCUGAAUGAACGGACUUUGAUUAAAACAAGGUAUUAUUUGCUGUCAUGUACCUCACUAAAUCCGAGCUCAGGCAGAGUCACUGAGGAAACCUGAGUGAAGUAAAGGAACUGACAGAAAUCUCAUUGGUGCAUUUAUUAUCAUUAUGAAAUGAAGCUGUAAAAACAAUGGGACUUGUCUGUGGAAAUGAACCCACAGACUGCAGCAGCAGCAGCUUGGGUCUCUGAAUGGAAAUGCUUUUAUUGAUUAUGUAUUAGCUGUGGUCAGCCGCUCUCUCUUCAUCGUCUCACACUGUAAUUAUUUUCAUCUGGAUGCUGGUUGCCGUGGAGCAGCAGGUCUCAACGCUGCUACUCUCAUCAGUCACCUGAAGCGUGGGGGUGUUCACAUGCAGGACUACACUGAGCCCAUUAACUACAGCGGCCAGGCUCAGGCACAGUAGAGCUGGUUUCCUGCACCACCCCAUCACACUCACCUCUCUGAUUUUUACCCUGUAACAGAGGCACCAGCUGCUGGAGCCAGUGUCAGGACCGCUCAAUCCUGCUGCAGCCCAGGAAUUAUGAAUUUAAUACAACACUCAAAGUUACAGCUGGUUUAAGUAGACGUUUUGCAGAACACAAUGACACACCAGGUGUUUUUAUUUAGAUGGAAGUCAUUCUGAAUGUCUCUGACACUUUGCACUAUUGAGAUCUGACCUUAAAAAUACAUGCUACAUGUAGAUUCUGACAUAUAACCCCAGGAUGAUUGAUGAGAGGACAGAUGGAUACAGAGAGGUUUUGAGUGCACGCACAUGCCAGCUCAGACAGAAACACGGAUAAGUGAUGGAGCGAGUUUCAAGUUUCAGUCCAGAGCAGAGGCUCAGACAGUUUUAGAGGAAGGUGAUAAAAACGUUACUCCAUUAAAGCCGCUCUGAGACUCUGUAGGCUUCAAUCCUGCAUUCAAAACUCAGAUGAUACGUUAAAGCCCCUGUGAGGAAGUUUGGCUUUGUGUCAGUUUUAGUGCCUCCUGUAGACACAGCAGUCCUGUCUUCAUCAAAAGCAGUGACUGUACACAACUGACUUUUAACAGUUAAACACUGCAGAAACUGUCUCUGCAGCUAACACCAAACACAAAAUCAUCCAGACAUGAAACAGCCUGUAAUCAGGUGUGUGGUCCUUUACCAACACUGCAAAGAUGACCAUAAGCUGGACUGUAUGGGCUGUAACAUGUAUCUAUGCUGAGGUGAGAAGGAUGUGUCAAUCCUGACAAUUACUAUUAUUAUUAUCAUUAUUGUUGUUGUUUUUGUUAUUUCAAUUUUCCUUUUUCCAAAUGUGCUACAUAAGCAUACAACACUGCAAAAUACAAACAUCUGAAUUUAGCUUCUCCCUUCACCCAAAUAAUGAGGGUGGAAGGAAGUAUUUUAAGCCUUAGGCCACUUUUAGAUGGAAACGGUCUCCAUAGAAAACGGGAAAAUUUAGUAUCGUUUAGGGGGGUCUGUUUAGAUGGCAACUGCCUUUUCAGGAGAUGAAAACGUAACAAAGUGAAAACCCCCUCCAGAGUGGAAAUGUUGUAAACGCUCUGCUAGUUUCGUCUAAAGUACAAAAACGCUGAAAACACUCAAACCCAUGACAUCCUGGCUCACGUCGGCUCACGUUUCUGACAUCAUAGCCAUGCGCAGCUUCCUUGAAAAUAACAACAACAACCAUGCAAGACGUUCGAGUUGCGCUGUCGUUAUUAUUGAACGAGCAGGAGCUCAAUUUCAACCUGUACAGAAUCCUCACAGAUCAUACUGCGCAGCAGAGGAGGCAUCUCAAUUAUUUGCAUCAAAUAAUUAAAGUGCCAAAUGGUCGGCUGAGGGGAAAAAGGGCGACCAGGGGUCCGUUUCACGUAGCAGGUUUAGUGGAAACUCCGAGUUUGUUAACCCUGAAAUCGGGGAAACUCUGAGUUUUCCGUUUCACAAAGGAGGGUUAGUUAAACCAGGGAGAGAGGGGUAACUCUAACCUGUUUCACAAAGAGAGGUAACUCAACCUCGCGGUCAGUUACCACAGUAACAGACUCCGUGAACCUAACCUGCUCGGGAGCAGGUUUAACUCAGUAAACCCAGAGUUUCAGGUGAGACAUCGGCAUUUUCUCAUUUUGAUCAUGUUUUACAUUGUCAAGUAAGUAUUAAGUGGCAGUUUGAUCUCUUAAAAAAUGCUCUUUUCACACUCAAAACUGAAUUUUACUCUCUUAUUAUGUUCCGUUAAAUGAUUAAGAAUAUUAAACUAACACAAAAACGGGUGGUGGUCCAGCAGCCCCACCUUUAACGGAGGCAGAGGCGCACACACACACACACACACGCACACCAGUCCGACGAUCGCUGCUACGGGGUGGGGGUUUCGAUCGUCGGGGGGGGGGGCAGCUCCUCUGCCUCCGUUAAAGGUGGGGCUGCUGGGCCACCACCCGUUUUUCUGGCAUCUGCCCUCUUUCUGUUUGCUGAGUGAAAGUCUAAUAUUGAGUGUAGUGUGUGUUAGUUUAAUAUAUGUACAUAUACAUACUGAGAGUUAGUUUAAUAUUCCUAAUCAUUUAACGGAACAUCAUAAGAGAGUAAAAUUCAUUUUUGAGUGUGAAAAGAGAAUUUUCUAAGGGAUCAAACUGCCACUUAAUACUUACUUGACAAUGUAAAACAUGAUCAAAAUGAUUCAAGCAGUUUCCCUGCAACAGUCUGUCAUUGUGAUUGCACGAGACUAGAUUUAAAGUUACGCAUUGACGCGAGCAGCGAUUUCCUCCCAAGCCCUCUCCCUCUCCUUUGCAGCUGCUGCUGUAUUGCACUUUCUUUUACAAACGUGCUGUAAUUCGCUGUUGGCUUGCUGCUGCCCCCUCCUUCUCCCUGUUUCCAUUGGUUGAUCAUUGAAUCUGCGCUCCACAGAUGCUGGCUGUUUAUGUCUGGCGUGCACGUGCUUAACUCCAGGUCAAACUACUCGGAGUUGUUAAAACCGUCUCAAAUCAGGUAUUGUGAAACCGGAAACUCAGAGUUUCCUAACUCAGAGUAGAUCAACUCAGAGUUAAGGAUUUAACUCAGAGUUUGUUGAACCACCUACGUGAAACGGACCCCAGGAAUGCACAUUA
This 43900-nucleotide long non-coding RNA is filed under the name Xyrichtys novacula (pearly razorfish). The stretch from base 28514 to 28600 matches the Rfam family "tRNA". The record is from RNAcentral. Lineage: Eukaryota; Metazoa; Chordata; Actinopteri; Labriformes; Labridae.